GAAAAAAUGAAUAAUUUACUUGCUCUCAUUAAAUGGAAAAGUAGUGAAUAUAUUCGCGACGCCACAAACACGAAAAGCGCGAAAUGGCGACCUUCAAUGCGCUGCAGAAUAUUCCUGUAUUCACCAUAUAAACAACUUCAGGAAUGUUACCAACUGAGGUGGAGCCAAACUUCAGAGAAUCACUAGAGAUUGAAAAUCAACUACUGCAUCAUUUUGGCUCAUUGUGCGAAAAGCAUAAGCAAAAACCAAAAAAAAAAAAAAAAGCAGAUCUGUGUGUGUGUCCCUGCUGACGUGUGGUUCAGAACGUGUGUGAGAGUUCUGGACGUGUGUCAGAACGUUCAUGACGCUGGUUCACCUCUAGAGGAGACAGCGAGAAGGUCACAGGAGUGUAUGGAGCAUGCAGACCGACCGCAUACUUCUGCUCAACUAUUGUUCAGGUUUAUGUAACUUCAGCAUGAAACCACAACACGAAACUCUAAUACAUUAAGAGAAUUCUUUAUUGACAAGUCAUUUAUUGUAAACAAUUAUGCAUAAAUAAUAUAAUAUAAAUAAUAUAUAUAUAAUAAAAAAAUUAUAAUUAUAUAAUACAGUAUAUAAAUUUGUUUAUUUUAAAUAUUAUGAAUUAUUUAUCACAAAUAUAUUUAUUCAUUAUCAUUUAUUUAUUUAUUGAUGCUCAGCUAUUGUUCAGGUUUAUGUAAUUGCAACAUGAAACUAAUGCAUAAAAAGAAUUCUUUAUUGACAAGUCAUUUCAGCACAUUGUUCCACAGCAGCUUUACAGAAAAUCAUGAUGUCAGUGUUUAUAUUAUCUUGAUUUCUUCAUGUCUUAUAGUUACAUUUAGCAGAUUAGAGCUGGACGAUUGAUAAUAUAGUUUUGUGACAAAAUAUAAAAUCAGGCAGAUUUGCUAUGUGUAUCGCGUAUGUGAAUAAAGUUGAAUGUAAUAUAACUGUGCAAAAAUAGAAUUUACAUAUUUGUGACAAUAUAAAUGUUUAUUAAUGUCAGUUAAAAACACAAUUGUUCAUUGUUUAUUUAUGUUAGUUCACCAUGAAACUAACAUUAACAGAUACAAUCUUUGAUUUUAAAAAUGUAUAAAUGUUGAAAUGAACAUGAGACGCUUUUUUGCGGAUUGUUCCUGAGAUCUCGGUGGUCGCGGAUCAAGAAAUAAAUGUAAUUUAAUGCCCAAUUUUCACCCAA
Long non-coding RNA from Ctenopharyngodon idella (grass carp), 1192 nucleotides. RefSeq lists it as uncharacterized. The record is from RefSeq and is a predicted model, not a curated record. The transcript has 3 exons. NCBI's taxonomy places the organism in Eukaryota, Metazoa, Chordata, Actinopteri, Cypriniformes, Xenocyprididae.